This 845-nucleotide ribosomal RNA is filed under the name uncultured organism. Its description in RNAcentral is "bacterial SSU rRNA". It matches the Rfam family "Bacterial small subunit ribosomal RNA", at positions 13 to 902 of the family's 1533-position model. The record is from RNAcentral.
UUGAUCCUGGCUCAGGAUGAACGCUGGCGGUCUGCUUAACACAUGCAAGUCGAACGGAACCUUCGGGUUUAGUGGCGGACGGGUGAGUAAAGCGUGAGAAUCUGCCUCCAGGUCGGGGACAACAGCGGGAAACUGCUGCUAAUCCCGGAUGAGCCUAAGGGUAAAAGAUUUAUUGCCUGGAGAGGAGCUCGCGUCCGAUUAGCUAGUUGGUGAGGUAAGAGCUUACCAAGGCAACGAUCGGUAGCUGGUCUGAGAGGACGAUCAGCCACACUGGGACUGAGACACGGCCCAGACUCCUACGGGAGGCAGCAGUGGGGAAUUUUCCGCAAUGGGCGAAAGCCUGACGGAGCAAGACCGCGUGCGGGAGGAAGGCCCUUGGGUCGUAAACCGCUUUUCUUAGGGAAGAAGCUCUGACGGUACCUAAGGAAUCAGCCUCGGCUAACUCCGUGCCAGCAGCCGCGGUAAUACGGAGGAGGCAAGCGUUAUCCGGAAUUAUUGGGCGUAAAGCGUCCGCAGGCGGCUUACCAAGUCUGCUGUCAAAUACCAGAGCUCAACUCUGGGUCGGCGGUGGAAACUGGCAAGCUAGAGUACAGUAGGGGUAGAGGGAAUUCCCAGUGUAGCGGUGAAAUGCGUAGAGAUUGGGAAGAACACCGGUGGCGAAAGCGCUCUACUGGGCUGUAACUGACGCUGAGGGACGAAAGCUAGGGUAGCGAAAGGGAUUAGAUACCCCUGUAGUCUUAGCUGUAAACGAUGGAGACUAGGCGUGGCUUGUAUCGACCCGAGCCGUGCCGAAGCCAACGCGUUAAGUCUCCCGCCUGGGGAGUACGCACGCAAGUGUGAAACUC